AUUGAACGCUGGCGGCAUGCUUUACACAUGCGAGUCGAACGGUAACAGGCCGCAAGGUGCUGACGAGUGGCGCACGGGUGAGUAAUGCAUCGGAACGUGCCCAGUCGUGGGGGAUAACUACUCGAAAGAGUAGCUAAUACCGCAUACGAUCUAUGGAUGAAAGCGGGGGACCGUAAGGCCUCGCGCGAUUGGAGCGGCCGAUGUCAGAUUAGGUAGUUGGUGGGGUAAAGGCUCACCAAGCCAACGAUCUGUAGCUGGUCUGAGAGGACGACCAGCCACACUGGGACUGAGACACGGCCCAGACUCCUACGGGAGGCAGCAGUGGGGAAUUUUGGACAAUGGGCGCAAGCCUGAUCCAGCAAUGCCGCGUGCAGGAAGAAGGCCUUCGGGUUGUAAACUGCUUUUGUACGGAACGAAACGGCUCUGGUUAAUACCCGGGGCUAAUGACGGUACCGUAAGAAUAAGCACCGGCUAACUACGUG
Molecule: ribosomal RNA, 482 nt
Filed under: uncultured bacterium
Lineage: Bacteria
Description: partial 16S ribosomal RNA
Rfam family: Bacterial small subunit ribosomal RNA
Source: RNAcentral